UGGUCCGAGUGCAGUGGUGUUUAUAACUAAUUGAUCACAACCAGUUAUAGAUUCCUCUGUUCCUUCUCCACUCCCAGUGCUUUACUUGACUAAAAAUAUA
Molecule: Y RNA, 100 nt
Filed under: Microcebus murinus (gray mouse lemur)
Lineage: Eukaryota; Metazoa; Chordata; Mammalia; Primates; Cheirogaleidae
Description: Y RNA (ENSMICG00000026626.2)
Rfam family: Y RNA
About the family: Y RNAs are components of the Ro ribonucleoprotein particle (Ro RNP), in association with Ro60 and La proteins.
Source: RNAcentral